Molecule: ribosomal RNA, 1427 nt
Filed under: uncultured organism
Description: SSU rRNA
Rfam family: Bacterial small subunit ribosomal RNA
Source: RNAcentral
GGCGGCGUGGAUAAGACAUGCAAGUCGAACGAGAGAAUUGCUAGCUUGCUAAUAAUUCUCUAGUGGCGCACGGGUGAGUAACACGUGAGUAACCUGCCCCCGAGAGCGGGAUAGCCCUGGGAAACUGGGAUUAAUACCGCAUAGUAUCGAAAGAUUAAAGCAGCAAUGCGCUUGGGGAUGGGCUCGCGGCCUAUUAGUUAGUUGGUGAGGUAACGGCUCACCAAGGCGAUGACGGGUAGCCGGUCUGAGAGGAUGUCCGGCCACACUGGAACUGAGACACGGUCCAGACACCUACGGGUGGCAGCAGUCGAGAAUCAUUCACAAUGGGGGAAACCCUGAUGGUGCGACGCCGCGUGGGGGAAUGAAGGUCUUCGGAUUGUAAACCCCUGUCAUGUGGGAGCAAAUUAAAAAGAUAGUACCACAAGAGGAAGAGACGGCUAACUCUGUGCCGGCAGCCGCGGUAAUACAGAGGUCUCAAGCGUUGUUCGGAAUCACUGGGCGUAAAGCGUGCGUAGGCUGUUUCGUAAGUCGUGUGUGAAAGGCGCGGGCUCAACCCGCGGACGGCACAUGAUACUGCGAGACUAGAGUAAUGGAGGGGGAACCGGAAUUCUCGGUGUAGCAGUGAAAUGCGUAGAUAUCGAGAGGAACACUCGUGGCGAAGGCGGGUUCCUGGACAUUAACUGACGCUGAGGCACGAAGGCCAGGGGAGCGAAAGGGAUUAGAUACCCCUGUAGUCCUGGCAGUAAACGGUGCACGCUUGGUGUGCGGGGAAUCGACCCCCUGCGUGCCGGAGCUAACGCGUUAAGCGUGCCGCCUGGGGAGUACGGUCGCAAGAUUAAAACUCAAAGAAAUUGACGGGGACCCGCACAAGCGGUGGAGUAUGUGGCUUAAUUCGAUGCAACGCGAAGAACCUUACCUGGGCUUGACAUGUAAUGAACAACAUGUGAAAGCAUGCGACUCUUCGGAGGCGUUACACAGGUGCUGCAUGGCCGUCGUCAGCUCGUGUCGUGAGAUGUUUGGUUAAGUCCAGCAACGAGCGCAACCCCUGUUGCCAGUUACCAGCACGUGAAGGUGGGGACUCUGGCGAGACUGCCCAGAUCAACUGGGAGGAAGGUGGGGACGACGUCAGGUCAGUAUGGCCCUUAUGCCCAGGGCUGCACACGUACUACAAUGCCCAGUACAGAGGGGGCCGAAGCCGCGAGGCGGAGGAAAUCCUGAAAACUGGGCCCAGUUCGGACUGUAGGCUGCAACCCGCCUACACGAAGCCGGAAUCGCUAGUAAUGGCGCAUCAGCUACGGCGCCGUGAAUACGUUCCCGGGUCUUGUACACACCGCCCGUCACAUCAUGGAAGCCGGUCGCACCCGAAGUAUCUGAAGCCAACCGCAAGGAGGCAGGGUCCUAAGGUGAGACUGGUAACUGGGAUGAAG